Molecule: ribosomal RNA, 464 nt
Filed under: Vreelandella stevensii
Lineage: Bacteria; Pseudomonadati; Pseudomonadota; Gammaproteobacteria; Oceanospirillales; Halomonadaceae
Description: partial 16S ribosomal RNA
Rfam family: Bacterial small subunit ribosomal RNA
Source: RNAcentral
CCUACGGGGGGCUGCAGUGGGGAAUAUUGGACAAUGGGGGAACCCUGAUCCAGCCAUGCCGCGUGUGUGAAGAAGGCCCUCGGGUUGUAAAGCACUUUCAGUGAGGAAGAACGCCUGGUGGUUAAUACCCAUCAGGAAAGACAUCACUCACAGAAGAAGCACCGGCUAACUCCGUGCCAGCAGCCGCGGUAAUACGGAGGGUGCGAGCGUUAAUCGGAAUUACUGGGCGUAAAGCGCGCGUAGGUGGCUUGAUAAGCCGGUUGUGAAAGCCCCGGGCUCAACCUGGGAACGGCAUCCGGAACUGUCAAGCUAGAGUGCAGGAGAGGAAGGUAGAAUUCCCGGUGUAGCGGUGAAAUGCGUAGAGAUCGGGAGGAAUACCAGUGGCGAAGGCGGCCUUCUGGACUGACACUGACACUGAGGUGCGAAAGCGUGGGUAGCAAACAGGAUUAGAUACCCCGGUAGUC